Molecule: ribosomal RNA, 264 nt
Filed under: Triticum aestivum (bread wheat)
Lineage: Eukaryota; Viridiplantae; Streptophyta; Magnoliopsida; Poales; Poaceae
Description: partial small subunit ribosomal RNA
Source: RNAcentral
AUGACUGGGGAGGUGAACAACUACUAUUUCCUUCCCGAAGAACCCGACCCCUUGCGCACCUUGCAUCAUAAGGAUAGCAUGGCCAAGGUGAUGUUUCUCGCAGCCGUGGCUAAACCAAGAUACGGCAAAGGUGGCGAGGUCACUUUUGAUGGAAAGCUCGGCAUUUGGGCUUUUGUCACAGAGUCUCCUGCUCAAAGAACCAGUGAAAACAGAGAUAAAGGGACGCUCGAGCUCAAAUCAUUGAAAGUCACACGAGAUGUAAUG